Molecule: ribosomal RNA, 333 nt
Filed under: uncultured bacterium
Lineage: Bacteria
Description: bacterial SSU rRNA
Rfam family: Bacterial small subunit ribosomal RNA
Source: RNAcentral
AGGGUUUGAUUCUGGCUCAGGAUGAACGCUAGCUACAGGCUUAACACAUGCAAGUCGAGGGGCAGCAUGUUGGUUGCUUGCAACCGAUGAUGGCGACCGGCGCACGGGUGAGUAACGCGUAUCCAACCUACCCUUGUCCAUCGGAUAACCCGUCGAAAGGCGGCCUAACACGAUAUGCGGUUCACAGCAGGCAUCUAACGUGAACGAAAUGUGAAGGAGAAGGAUGGGGAUGCGUCUGAUUAGCUUGUUGGCGGGGUAACGGCCCACCAAGGCAACGAUCAGUAGGGGUUCUGAGAGGAAGGUCCCCCACAUUGGAACUGAGACACGGUCCAA